RNAcentral lists this ribosomal RNA (465 nucleotides) under Vreelandella stevensii. RNAcentral's name for it is "partial 16S ribosomal RNA". It matches the Rfam family "Bacterial small subunit ribosomal RNA", at positions 338 to 795 of the family's 1533-position model. The record is from RNAcentral. Lineage: Bacteria; Pseudomonadati; Pseudomonadota; Gammaproteobacteria; Oceanospirillales; Halomonadaceae.
CCUACGGGUGGCAGCAGUGGGGAAUAUUGGACAAUGGGGGCAACCCUGAUCCAGCCAUGCCGCGUGUGUGAAGAAGGCCCUCGGGUUGUAAAGCACUUUCAGUGAGGAAGAACGCCUGGUGGUUAAUACCCAUCAGGAAAGACAUCACUCACAGAAGAAGCACCGGCUAACUCCGUGCCAGCAGCCGCGGUAAUACGGAGGGUGCGAGCGUUAAUCGGAAUUACUGGGCGUAAAGCGCGCGUAGGUGGCUUGAUAAGCCGGUUGUGAAAGCCCCGGGCUCAACCUGGGAACGGCAUCCGGAACUGUCAAGCUAGAGUGCAGGAGAGGAAGGUAGAAUUCCCGGUGUAGCGGUGAAAUGCGUAGAGAUCGGGAGGAAUACCAGUGGCGAAGGCGGCCUUCUGGACCGACACUGACACUGAGGUGCGAAAGCGUGGGUAGCAAACAGGAUUAGAUACCCCAGUAGUC